Molecule: long non-coding RNA, 1558 nt
Organism: Alligator sinensis (Chinese alligator)
Lineage: Eukaryota; Metazoa; Chordata; Crocodylia; Alligatoridae
Exons: 4
Source: RefSeq, a predicted model, not a curated record
UUCUAGCGUACAUCCUAAAGGCUAUUGCAUCAUUUCGGCUACCUAAAUUUCAGAGGCAUGACUGUCUCACAAACAAAGAAAAUACUUGUGUAGCUGGAGAAUUUGUCAUGCGUUAGAGCGGAGUACUUCCAGGGGAAGGUGUUCGCUCCUGUACUCCUACACAAAGCCUCCCAAAAUUCAUGGACACGUGCCAUCUCUUGACCGGGACGCUCCUCAAGAAAGACCUAUACCGACGCGCACGUGAGAGCAACUAACGAGGAAAGAAGCGAGACGCAUUCCAAAAAAUGGAACAAUUGGGAUCGAAAGCUAAUUUCGGCUUUGCAUGGGAAUUAAGCUCUUCCAGCGGGGAGCGAAAAUAGCUCGUGGGCGAUGCCCGGCGUCGAUCCUGCGGACUAGCGAGAGGUGUUUCGCCCUCUUCGCCCGCGGCCAAGCAGGAGGCAGGUCGUCGACGUACGGCCGUACGGACCGGCGGGGUCUCAACCGUGCCAGGAUCCAGGCGCGUGCCCUGGAGAACAACCUCUCCCGCGGCUUGGAAAGAUAAGCUGCGACAAACCUAAAAAGACCCCAGUUUUAAAACUUCUCGCAUGGAGACUUGUACAACACAUCUUUGUUACCUGGACGUCUAUAAUGAGCCCAGUGUCAGAGGCAGAAUAUUCAAGGUGGCUAUUUUCUAGGAGCUUGUACUUCAGGCCAGGAUUAAGACACUCUUUUUGUCGAGUAAUAAAACCAUUGAAAGUGGGAUUUCUGUUUUUGUUAACAAGCUUGUGGAACUCAUUGCCUAAAGAUUUUGUGGAGGUUGAAAACUUACUGGAAUUCAGAAUAGGAUUGAGCGUCAACAUGGUCAAUGAGAACGAGAGAGGCAGAACAGGAAGGAUAAAAAUAUUUUGGGAGGGAUACAAUCCUGCCUGCUUCGGGGCAUCAAUUGGCUUCCAACUAAUGGAGUUUAACUCGAAUCAAACAAAUAGUGCAGGACAUCAAGGAUUCAGCUUCAAACUUCAGGAAACAAAUGGAUAGGUUGUGCCACAACAACAAAAUGGGGUUUCUCAGCAUAGGCGUGCAGACUUGCCCUCUCCUGACACCCAUGUCCACGGUAUAAUCCGUGCCAAACUACAUUAACAACAUAGCUGAUAGAUCCCAACAUUUUUGUGACAUGCAGUAGAGGUUUAAUAAAAGAGCUACCAAAUUAACAAGGGCCUUUUUUUUUUCGCAAGAAGUCUUUUUCUUUUUUUUUGCAUUAAGUUCCCUUCUGCAGUGGUUGUGCACACAGGAUGUUACACACAGUAUUGGAAGCCAGGGCUCCAGGUUUCUGUUCCUGGCUCUCCCACUAAUUUGCUGUAUGGCCUUGGCCAAUUCACUUAUCCUUUCUGAGCUAUCGCAUGCCCAGCUGUAAACUGAAGGCAGUAUUUACAGGAUAUCCUUCACCAGGAAUCUUAGUUAAUUUAGGCCCAAACCUGUACUACGCAAUCCAAUGGGAAUUUAGAGUUCUAGAGAUUUGAGGUUCUCAGCUUAAAAUUGUUAUAGUCUCAUUCCUGCUUACAACUUUAUUUUCUAGUUUUAA